GGCUAAAAGAAUGAAAAGUAUUCAUCAAUGAGAGCAGGUUCAAACAACAUCUCAGGGAUCCAACUUCAGUAUAAUUAUCACCAACAAAGCAACAUAAAUACUAUGCAAAGCUGGGGUGUAGCUCAAUAAUAACACAGUUGUCUAGAAAGUCAGGUACCCAGGUUCAAUUCCCAACACUACAGUUUAAAAAAUUAAAUAAAAUACUAUUACAAAGUUCUAAUAUCCAGAAAAAAAUUGAAAGAUGAAGGGUAGGAAUAUCUUAGCAUUUGUUAGAACAAUAACAACAGAGAGUUUUUAAUUGUUUAGACAGUGUCUCACUAUAUUGGCCAGGUUGGUCCAGACCUCACCAUCUUCAAGUCUGGCCUUCACUGUGCUGAUAUGUGCCACCAUACCAAGUUAAAUUAAUUUUUAAAGGAAAAUAGAAUUCAUUAACUAUAAUCUUGACUAAAACUGGAAUGAGGGUUAACUCAACUUUUCUGUUGAUAAGAGCCAGUUCUAUCUCACAGACCAAAAUACAGUUUCACUUUUCCCCAUUCAUCUAGAUCCAUUCUCUUAAAAACAUGCUACUUCAGAGUCUUCGACUAAAAUAUUCAAUACUAAGACAGUGGCACUUUUAAAAAGCAGUUCCCAACACUACAGCCAUUAUAUAGUAUUAGCCUCUAACAUAAGACUGAUACAUUAAGAUUUCCACAUUAAUUUGAUAAUAGUUUGUUAGAAUUUUUCUUUAGCAGUUUAAAACCUUUUAGGGGGGAAAAAAUCUAGUUUCUCUAGCAACAAUUUUCAAGUGGAUACUGAAGAGUAAUUUUGUACUGUUCCUAUAAUCCAAAGAAGACAAACUUACUUUCAUAUAAUCAGAAACAGUGAGACAGAAAACCCUACAAAUUUAACAGCAAGCUCAGAGAUAAAAAUAAAACAAACAGUACUUCUAUCAAUUUGCCAAGAUUAUACAGAUGGUUUUGGUAUUUAGAACAAAAUGAGGCCUGCUAAAUCUAAGGUAAAAGAAACAGAUUCUGAAAUAAUAAAAAGAAUGAUUGUAAGUAAAAUGUCUUAAUCAUUCGCAGUAAUGGAAGAAGACAGGUUAUUGAUAUUUUUUUAAUGUCUUAUAUUACCUCUGGAAAGUGUUUACUGAAAUUACAUCUGAUGACCUAUCUUAAAGCAAAUGGUGAUGGUACACUCAACAUGUCUGGCUCAGAGGUAUCACGUUUUACCCUUACUCUACCCCUUUGUUCAGCCCCUCACACCUUAAUCCAUAUUUGGAAAAGUUGACUAAAUGCCAAACAGACUAAGGGAGACUUAAAAGUAAAUGGUAUUCCUAGAGUUCCAGUAGAACUACUAAGUAAAGCAUGCAGCGUCUUAAAUAAGCAACCAAUUAUGAAGUAUAAUUAAGAAGUGCUAAUUACCAUCAAUGCCAAUUUCACAUGUGUGGCAAGAUGCCAAAUGUAGUUGCUAGGAAAAAAACGGACUUAGACUCAAGUUUUCAGGACACUCUGAAAGAUUAGAAAUGUUAUCUUUCACUUUAAGAUCCAGAUUUCUUGGUAUGUUCCUUCACUCACUGAUUCAAAGCCUAAUGAGAGAAUGAGACACAUAAAUUAAAAUGCUCGAAAGUCAACAAUAGAUAGACUAGAUUACUCACUAGAUACAAGACAUUGUUUCAAAUGUUUUAUUUGUAUUAUCAAAUUUAAGUGUCUCAACUCAAUAAAUGCACACUUUUCUCCAUUUUACAUGGGAGGAAACUGAGAUAUAAAGAAACAGGAACAAGACCAGGUUUCAAACCCAUAGCCACUGAUCCUUAGCCAACUACCUGGUACUUCCUCUCAUACUACAAUAACUGACUCAACAAAUUCUUUUUUUGUUUGUUUUUUUUUUUUGUUUUUGUUGACUGAGUUUUGUUGUUUUUGUUUUUGAGACUGGGUUUCUCUGUGUAGCCCUGGCUGUCCUGGAACUCACUCUGUAGACCAGGCUGGCCUCGAACUCAGAAAUCUGCCUGCCUCUGCCUCCCAAGUGCUGGGACUAAAGGUGUGCGCCACCACACCCAGCUUAACAAAUUCUUUUUUAAAAUUACAUUUAUUUAUCUUUUAUGUGUGCAUGUGUGUCACAGUACACAUGUGGUGGUCAAGGGUCAACCUUCUAGAAUCAGUUCGCUCCAUAAUGCAGGUCCUGAGGUCAAACUUGGGUUGUCAGGGCUUUGCAGCAAGCAUUUUUUUUUUUUCUUUUUUCGAGACAGGGCUUCUCUGUGUAGCCUUGGCUGUCCUGGAACUCACUCUGUAGACCAGGCUGGCCUUGAACUCAGAAAUCCUCCUGCCUCUGCCUCCCAAGUGCUGGGAUUAAAGCCGUGCACCACCACUGUCUGGCUAGCAAGCAUCUUUUACCCACUGAGCCUCUUCCUGCCCCCUCUACAAAUUCUCACUAGAACUUGAGACAUGACAAAAUACUUAUAGAUUACUCCAGAAGAGACCCAAUAAUCCAGAGCUGAGAAGGCUUUCUGGAGGAAUAAAGCCCUGAUUCUUUUUCUUUUAAUUAUCUUAUGUGUAUUGUGUUUUGCAUGCAUGCAUACAUAUGCAGAAAAAAGUGUCGUUUCUGCUGAAACUGGAGUUAUAGAUGUUGUAAACUGCUAUAUGGGUGCUGGGAGUCGAACCUGGGGCUUCUGUAAGAGCAGCUUGUGCUCUUAAUUUUUUAAAUUAAUUAAUUAAUUAUUGAAACAGCAUUUCUCUGAGUAACUAUUCUGGACCAGGCUGGCCUUGAACUCAGAGAUUUGCCUGCCUCUGCCUCCCAAGUGUUGGUAUAAAAGGCCAGCAUCACACCACCUGUCCCUCAUUCUUAAAGAAUAUAAAGAACUUAGCUAGACAAAAUAAGAAGGAAGGGAGGAAUGACAGGAUUCCAGAAAGAUACUUCUAUCCUGGGACCACAGCAGCAACACAACACUCCAGAAAUAACAGAUAUAUUCAAGGAAACUUCAAGAAGAAUGCUAUAAAGGCUGGAGUGGAAAGGGAAAGUAGAAAUUAUAAAAGUUAAGAUUAGAGAGCCAGACAAAGGCCAAAUUGUAGAGAAUUUUAAUGACAUGGUAAGGAGUGUUGGCUUCAUUUAGUUAACAAUGGAGUCAGCAGGGAAUUUUCAAUUGGUGUUUUAGAUAUACAUUUUGCCAACUCUGAAAAUGUGAAUUUCAGGAACAAAAGUGAAAAUAAGAAAACCAGUGGAAACAGCUUCUAAAAAGGAAAGUACUGGGAUAAGGAUGCUAGGGGAGUUUCUAGUUCAAAAUAAGUUAAUGGACAAAGAGAUGUUCUGUGGACAAAAGGUCCUUGCCACCAAGUCUGAAGACCAGAGUUUAACCCCAAGGAACCAUAGAUAGAAUGUCAGAACUAACUCUAGCAAACUGUCUACUGACCUUCAUAUUCAGGCACAUGCAUGUGCCCACAAGUGUACACACACACACACACACACACACACACACACACACACAGAGAGAGAGAGAGAGAGAUCAGUAAAUAAAGAAGUAUAAUAAAAAUUGUUUUUUUAAAAGAUUUACCAAAUAAGCUGGAUAUAGUGGCAAGAGGAUCAAGAGUUAACUAAGCUAUAAAGUGAGCUGGAGGCCAGACUGGGGUACAUAUACCCAGAUAAAUAGAUUUCAGUGAAUGAGUAGACAUUAAAGAAAGAGAGGGAAAGAUAAGAAGAACUUGUAUACAAUUACUAAAAGUCUCUUCCUUGAAUUAUGAAGUCAAUAGCAAUCCAUGUUAUCUCUGAAAAUAAAUAAAAAAUAAAUAAAAGCAAAACUUUAUCUAAGUAAAUAAGUUUGGUUUGGGUAAGAGUUUGAGGAGAAAGUGAUAAAUCAGAUAAGGCAUUGUGAUUUUAAUCCAUGAUAACUGUUCCAAGAAGUUAGAAAUGUCCAAAAAAAAAAAAAAGAAGAAGAAGAAAGAGACAGAAAAAAAGAAUGAAAGGAAGAAAAAAAGAGGGAAAGAAAGAAAAUAUUAAAAAAGGAAAAAGAAAAAAUGGGCCUCUCUAAUAUUGGUAAAUAUCCUGAAAAUAUUUUAAAAUAACUAAAAUGAUCUUUUUCAAAUAAGUUAACAAACAAAAAAAAAAGCCAAGUAGAAAAUAUGUAAAGAAGGCCUGGGGAGAUAGCUCAGCAGGUAAGAGGUCGGUCGGCUGAGUAACCACGAAGGCCAGAGUUCAGAUCCUAGAACUGCACAACAAGCCAGGCAUCCCAUGCAUGCCUGCAACCUCAGAUCCAAGGGGGUUGAAACAGGAGAAUCAGCAGAGCUUGCCUAGCGAAGAAGACACAUUUCCCAGGCAAAGAGUGUCAGGAAAGGAUUCCUCACAAUCUCUUCUGACCUCAGUUUGCAAACAGCUGCACGCCCUCACACACCUGAACACACUCACACAGAUGCCUAAACACACACAAAUAAAUCUUUUUUUUUUUAAGGAAAAAAAUAUAUAUAUAAAGAAUAGGUACGGGCCAGGCGGUGGUGGCCCAUGCCUUUAAUCCCAGCACUUGGGAGACAGAGGCAGGCGGAUUUCUGAGUUCGAGGCCAGCCUGGUUUACAAAGUGAGUUCCAAGACAGCCAGAGCUAUUCAGAGAAACCCUGUCAAAAAAAGGAAAAAAAAAAAAAAAAAAAAGGAAAAGAAAAGAAUAGGUACACACAAAUUUAGUGAAGAGAUGACCAAAAAUAAAAAUACUUUUAAAAAAAUGAAGGGAAAUAAACACAAGACAAAAAUGAAAUGCUAUUUAUUUUACAUCAAGCACACUAGCAAAAUCCAAAAAUCUAACAACACCUGGAAAGAGUAUAAAGAAACAGAAAUACACAUUGGUUGUCAAAAUUCUAUAAAUAAUUUAUUAAGGGAAAAAUACUUCUUUUCCAGAACUUAGCAAGUUCACAACCAGGCCCAUGACCUGGGAAAACUCUGGCAUGUUGCUUUAAGACAGUGGUCCCCAACCUUCCUAUUGCUGUGACCCUUUAACAGGGCUCCUCAUGCUGUGGAGACCCCAACCAUAAAGUUAUUUUUCUCUGCUAUUUCAUAACUGUAAUUUUGCUACUGUUAUGAAUUGUAAUGUGAAUAUCUGAUAUGCAACCCCUGUGAAAGGGUCGUUUGACCCCCAAAGGGGUCACAACCCACAAGUUGAAAGUCACUGCUUUAAAAGAUAGAGGAAUAUUAAUGAGGCACUGUUUAUGCCAGACAGAAAAUGAAGACCAUGUAGAUGAGCAUUAAUAGAAGAAAUGAUAACUGGCAGUACAGCACUUUCAGUCAGUGGGGCCCACAAAGCAAUAAAUCAAUAAAGAUGGGAUAAAAAUCAAGAAAAUUCAGUGAUUGUAUACCAGGACACAGCAGUAUCAAUACCUACUUAAACUUACCAGUAUUUAAAGAAAAGAAAAGAAAGAGUAACAGACAUGUAGCCAUAGUAUGCCUUUUAAAAAAAAUGUAGCUCUGACUGUCCUGAAACUCACUGUUUAGACCAGGCUUGCCUCUUCUUUCUGAAUGCUGGGAUUAAAGGCAGGUCCCACUACACCUGGCUGACACAGAUUGUCUUAACUACUGUUCUCCUGCCACGACAAAGGCAAAUUAUAAAAGAAAGCAUUUAAUUGGGGUCUCGCAGUUUCAGAGUGUUUAAGGCCAUGAUUAUCACGGCAGGGAGCAUGGCAGCAGGCAGGUGUGGUGCUGGAAUCAUAACUGAGAGCUUACAUCUGAUCUACAAAUAUGAGACAGAAAAAGAAAACGCUAACAGGGAACGGCAUGGACUUUUGAGACCCAAAGACACAUCUCCUCCAACAAGGCCACACCUCCUAAUCCUUCCUAAACCUAUCUACCAACUGUGGAUCAAGUCUUCAAAUAGCAGAGCCUAUGGAGGCCAUUCUCACUCAAACCAUCACAUUUUUUUUUCAGGGUUAUGUAAAUAAACUCAUCAAAUUUUUAUGAAACCUUAUAAAAAUGAACAUUUCCAUUGUUCCGAUUUGAUAGGAUAGGGGCAUGAAGGAUAUAGUUUAAAGAACUAUAAAAUCACUAAAAAGUAAAGUCAAGAUUCAGACCAAGGAGGCUGGAAAGAUGGCUCAGCAAUGAAAAGUGCUUUUUGCCUUUGUAGAGGACCUGAGUUUGGCCCCUAGCACUCAUUUUGUGGCUCAGAACUGUUUGUAACUCUAGUUCCAGGGGAGCCAGUACCUCUUGUGGCCUCUGCAGGCACUAGGCAUGCAUGUGGUACAUAGACAUGCAUGUGGGCAAAGCACUCAUUCUCAUAAGAUACAAUUUAAAAAUGUUUUCAAAGAUUCAAAUCCACGAAGUUUAGUUCUAAUCCAUACUUUGACUUUUCUUACUAAAAUAUCACAUCAACAUUCAAAAUCCUGGGUUUCAUUGUGGUGUUUUUCAUACAUAUCACUAUACUUUGUGCUGGGCACUCAGAGUAGAGCCAGGUGUGGUGGUACAAUCCUACAAUCCAGCUUUGGGAGGUAGGGAAGUAAGAUCAGGAGUUCAAGACCAACACAGGCUUCCUAGCAAGUUAGAGUCUAGCCUGACACACUCUCACCCUGUCUGAAAACAAAGACCUAGCACCAGAGCCACACUACACACACAGUGUGGGUCAGUAACAGGAAAGAGAGAGACGUGAAACUGGAUGGAACAAAAAGGCGUUAAUAUCAUAUGAAGUAUAAAGUUCUAUACUGCUCUUAGAAUCCCAUGUGGCAACUGUGAUAUAGUUCUUUUAUAUUAAAUAUAUAUCUGAAGCAAAAAUGAAAAAUGUCAACAUCUUAUGUAGGCAUGUGGGUGUGUACUACAUAUUUUGGUAAUUGGGUUUAUUUUUAAAGCUUUCCAAGAAGAAAAAUGUCUCAUCUACAAAACAACAGUUACAGUUGGUUGGGCAUAACAGUCACGUCUAUAAUCGCAACUUUCUGGAAGAGGAGCUGAGAAUCUGGAAAGCUCAAAGGGACACACUGUUUCUAAGACCUGUAAGAGGGCUGGAGCCAUAGCUCACUGGGUUUAGUACCAGGCCCAGAGUUUGAAUUCCCAGCAUCCACAUAAAAGAAUGGGUGACGUUUCUCCAGGAUUGGGUGGUGGCAGAGAAAAGCUGUCUCAGGAACUCAGUCUAGCCAAUUGGUAGGCUCUGGAUUCACUGAGAGACCUUGUCCCAAAACAUAGUGACUGAGGAAGGCAUCUGAUGCCAACUUCUAGCCCACACAAGCACAUGCAACACAAAUUAAUCAAAGGGAAGUUACCACAGAAAUAAAAAUAAAUUUCUGAUCUCCAUAUAACAGGUUUUACUUAUAAACACACUCCAAUAUGAAAUCUAGUGUGCCAAAAAUGUAUUUUAAAAAUGGGUGUCUAGAACCCAAAGCACAGUUUCCCACUAGGAAAGUUACAAAAGGAUAUGAGUACAGAGGCGGGGGGUGGAGGUUGGGGAACCCUACCCAGCACUAGCAAUGAGACAGGAAAACAGGGGACACAUGCACUGUUGGCUCCAAAAGCAAACAACACUUCUCAGGCAGGGCUGGAGGGCAGAAGUCAUGUUUUAUUCACCUUUGUAUCCUCAGUAACUAGCAAAAUAUUGGUAUCUCUGAACCAUCCCAGUGCUGUUGCCUAACGACUCAUGAGGUAAUGAGGAAAAGACUGAGCGCAUUAUCAGUAGGUGGCACUGUCAACAUGGAGCAGUUUAGUACUGGAAGCAAAAAGAACCCAGAAGUUAAUGCAAAGCAUCCACAGACAUACAAACGAACGCAAGGUUAGCGCUGACAAUCCAUCCAGACAGCCACUUGCUUCUGUUACUGGGAGUGCACCUACACACCAGACUCUGCUAGCAAAGGCGGUUUUCUUGUUGAGAUUUUUCAAUAUUUUCUCUUAACCCUUUAAUGCCACUUUGCGGUUAUAAGAAUAGUAAUUUAACCGAACGUGUUAAAUUAUACCUAUACCUAUACCUAUACACAUAUACCUAUAAUCCCAGCACUUAGAUGGUUGAGGCAGGAAGCUCUUGAGUUCUAGGCCAUCAUGAGCUACAUAGCAUGGUCCUGUCUCAAAAAACAAAAAACAAAAACAAAAAAGCGAGCCUUUUUACUAUUACAAUAACCCCAUAUGUAAAUGAAUAGUGUCUCAAAUAUAAGGCUUUACACUUCUUUCAGAAUCCAAAGUGAUAUCGAUGAUAUACAGUAAUUAAGUAUAGCUGUACUCUCUUCACCCCACCCUACUAAUUCUACUGAAUAAAAACCAACUGGGGAUGAAGAGAGCAGAUAAGAAAGAAAGAAAGAAAGAAAGAAAGAAAGAAAGAAAGAAAGAAAGAAAGAAAACGAUUCCUUAGAAUCUCCUUCUAUUACCUCUGGCAGGAAAGGGUGAAAUUCUGAAAAGUUAAGUCCCUGAUGUGGGAGAAAGCAGAAAUAGCAAGUCCAUUUUCUUGCUGGAGACACUCAUGUUUAUGGCUGACAGUCAUGAGGCACCAAUAUACACCAGAAUGAAGGGUCUGUAACAUAACAAUCAGCUCUAUGUUUAGUGAUGGGUAUGAAAAACUACGCUUCCCAUAAGCAGAGGGCUUAAGAUUCUGCAAACAACUAAAGGCAAUGCAGUUUGUAUCAUGCAGGAAGAAAAUAGCUUUCUUCUUUGUUAAAAUGUUUACUGUUUUCUGAAUAAAUUAAUAUGAAGUGCUUUGUCCCUUCCAAUAAUCUUCCAAUUACACUAAAUAUUAUUCAAGUUGCCGAAAUAGGACAAAAGUUCCAGGAACUUUAGAAUCAAUGAGCUGCUGGUAAUUCCAAUGGAAGAGCUCAAUCAGCACCAGCUUUCUGGCUCUCCUGCAGGGAUAGAAAAGUUGUACUCCUUCACCAAACUUCAAAAAUGGAAACUUGUGCACUUAAGCUUGAAAUGCAAGCCAAAAUUUGCUCAUUUUUAUCCCUAAUAUUAAGCUGGUGUCAAGAUCAAUUAACUUCCCUCACAAGCACAUUCUUUCAAAAUUCCACAGCAAAGUAGAAUGUUUAAUCAUUGGAUGGUGGGGGGGGGGAAGAAUUAUGUAACACAUAUAGAAUGAUGGUGGUAACUAUAUGUUAUUCUAGACUCUUGCUGGGAGCUGCAGUUCAAAGGGAGUUUGUAAAAAUAAAAAGCUGCCUCAAACGAUUAUUACGUCUCGCCCAAACAAAACAAAGCCCCAUAAAAGAAAUCAAGUACAAUUUUAAGUUCAAUUAGGGCUCAGAUCAGAAAUUCUAUUCCUUUUUUUUUUUCAGAAGCUGUAUCUCAGAACUACUGUAAAUAUAAACUGAUCAAUUUGCCCAAGAAUCCUUACUUAUAAACUAAUCUUGGGUUCCCCCUGAGACUCCUCUUUAUAGUAAUCUCAAAUGCACCACAAUAACUUAGUGUAACCUGGGCUACGAUGUUUACAGGUGUCUCCACCCCCUUCCUCCAAGGAAAGAGGAGGUACAAUGGGUGGGCAGAAAACAGAUUAAGGCUGUAUAUACACUAAAGAUAAUCUUGUGAUAAUGUAAUAUUGUUUAUUUUACUUUUGGGCUACCCUUUUCAUUCAUAUCUAACACACUUAAAAGAACAAUAUACUCACAGAGUGACACAAUUCCUGCCCUCCCAUGUCUCUCUGGCUGGCUGACACCCACUUUCCCCUCAGAUAAAUACAAGCCUGUUGACUGAUGCCUGUCCUGUUUUGCAAACAAGAAAUAACUGUCCUAUAAGACAAAUAAAAACCGUCUCUACCGCUCUGAGGCCAACCAUUCGUCUGAAGGAAAAGCACACUGGAGCAGCAACAUCCAAGUUUCCCUUUACGUCCUGUCAUUUAAAAGCACCAUAAAAGAGAUGUCGCUGCGACCCAAUUCUAGGUCACAAGCUUUUUUGCCCCUUCUCCCCCUGCCCCCUCCUUCGUCUUUCCCCUCUAGAAAGAGAUAAACUUCAAAAGGAGUGGUGAUGACCAAGAAUUGCGCGCGCGUGUGCACAGACACACACACACACACACACACACACACACACACACACACACACACACACACUGGUCAACUUGGACGCUGGCCGGGCUCACGUGGAACCUGAGCCCCAGCCGGGCCCCGGCAUCUGGACUGAACAGCCGCGGGAAAGCAGCCCCCGCCGCGGGUUUGAAACCCAGAGCAGGUGGGAUUCCGGGAAGCAACCUUACGUAACGAGCUUGUCAAAAUCCCAGCUUCAGGACCUCCCCACCGUCCGCCCCCGCCCCAUCACCCCAACAACAACAGCCCCAGGCCAGCACCAAAUGGCCAGUCCGGAGGGACCCCCCCGGUGUCCCGCGCUCGUUCCCACACGGAGGCGCGCGAACGCCAUCGACAGCAUCUCGCCAUCCUCCGGGACGGCCAGAGCCCCUCCUAGCAGCUGCCCGCGCCUAGCGGCCCUCCAAGUCCUAUCACCCGGCUCGGCGUCCCCCUGCCAGUCACCUCCUCAGGGCCGUGACAGCUCCCUAUGCCACCGAUGCCCACGCCGCCGCCCCCGCCACUCACCUCCCCGCCGGCCCCCGCGCGAGCACCGGGAAGAGCCUGAGAUGCAGAGUCUGAUCCCCUCAUGCGCGGCGGGCGGGACACGAGGGGGCUGAAUGUCGCGGCGCUUGCAGCCAGCUUAGCUCAUCUCCCGGCCCGGCGCUCCGCCCAGCCGUCUCAGUCAGACGGGACUCCCCCUCCCCGCGCGGUCGCCAAAGCCUCCGCCUCCUUCCUCAGCACCAGCCGCCGAACCCGCCGCGGCCGGCGCCAUCUUGGGAGUGACGGUUGGGAGAUUCCGAGCCCCUGGCGAGUAAGAACAAGGCGCACUGUACCUUCCUCUUUCACAAGCAUCCAGCUAUGGCCAACAGACCUGCUUCUUCCUUCCCGGCACUGCUGCUUGGUGCAGUGGUCUGAGCUGAGAUCCGCCCACCAAAGUCACUGGUAUUCUGCAGAAAACCCCCUAAGCGGUUAGCAACCACCAGUAGCUUUCAGUCCCGAGACAGAGGUCAGGGAAAAGGGGGAAUUCAGAGGGGUUCUCUGAAAAGCGCGUUGAUAAAACAGCUAUUGUUGAUUGAAA
Long non-coding RNA from Mus musculus (house mouse), 10971 nucleotides. RefSeq annotates it as predicted gene, 36459. Lineage: Eukaryota; Metazoa; Chordata; Mammalia; Rodentia; Muridae. The record is from RefSeq and is a predicted model, not a curated record. The transcript is spliced from 2 exons.